This 497-nucleotide ribosomal RNA is filed under the name uncultured bacterium. RNAcentral's name for it is "partial 16S ribosomal RNA". It matches the Rfam family "Bacterial small subunit ribosomal RNA", at positions 28 to 507 of the family's 1533-position model. The record is from RNAcentral.
GAUGAACGCUGGCGGCGUGCCUAAUACAUGCAAGUCGAGCGAACGGACGAGAAGCUUGCUUCUCUGAUGUUAGCGGCGGACGGGUGAGUAACACGUGGAUAACCUACCUAUAAGACUGGGAUAACUUCGGGAAACCGUAGCUAGUACCGGAUAAUAUUUUGAACCGCAUGGUUCAAAAGUGAAAGACGGUCUUGCUGUCACUUAUAGAUGGAUCCGCGCUGCAUUAGCUAGUUGGUAAGGUAACGGCUUACCAAGGCAACGAUGCAUAGCCGACCUGAGAGGGUGAUCGGCCACACUGGAACUGAGACACGGUCCAGACUCCUACGGGAGGCAGCAGUAGGGAAUCUUCCGCAAUGGGCGAAAGCCUGACGGAGCAACGCCGCGUGAGUGAUGAAGGUCUUCGGAUCGUAAAACUCUGUUAUUAGGGAAGAACAUAUGUGUAAGUAACUGUGCACAUCUUGACGGUACCUAAUCAGAAAGCCUCGGCUAACUACGUG